This is a long non-coding RNA of Actinia tenebrosa (Australian red waratah sea anemone), 426 nucleotides long. The record is from RefSeq and is a predicted model, not a curated record. Lineage: Eukaryota; Metazoa; Cnidaria; Anthozoa; Actiniaria; Actiniidae.
GGAGUUCUCAUGCAGCGUAUCCUUACACACCCUUCUUUUAGCACAGAAGCCUUCAGUCUGGUUGGCGUGCUCGCUCAGUAUAUCUAAGGCAUGGCUAUCGAACGACAUUUAGACCCCCGCGAAGUUUGCGAUCUAAAAGGACUGGGCGCUAGGUUUCUCUGACAACGCAUGCGGAUUUGAAUUAAAAAUGGCGACCGGUUGGAGAAGGGACGUGAUCUUUUCACAUUUACACUUUGUAAUAGUCGUUACUCGGUAUCUUUAAUGCCAAGUUUUAGAGAUAUCUACUUACAAGGGCUGUGCAGUUAUAAAUAAAGUAUUUCAUCAUGAAAACGCGAAAACCGCUGGACCUUUGUACCCGAGCCUGUCUUCGAUUUCUUUGUAAAACUGAAAUAACUUUAUCGCUCUUGAGUAAAKGCUUAAACUUCU